UCAAGAACUAUGCCAGAAAAGAUUAUGUUUUGUCCUAUAACCCCAAACCUCCACUCUCACAAUGUUUAUACAACUAUCAAUGUAUUCAAUGUAUAAGAACUAGAACAACACUGGAUAGGUUCAUGUUACUGUAAGUAACAGUUUUUUGUUUAUUUACAUUUGCCAAUCAAGAGGUCCCAGGUUAUAUUGUCAUUAUAUAAUACAGUGCAGGAUAAUGAGGUCAACAACACAAACGCCUUCGACCUACACAAUAUUUGUUAAGAUUGUGUCGUCUCUCGUCCAGCAAAUAUUCAAUACAAAACCACACUAACAGGAAUAUAUGAAGAACUUCUGUUAGUAAACUUAUUGCAUGUGAUUGUUAACUCUCACAAACGUGAACAUUUGAAACUUUUCUUAGACACAGUCUGCAAAUGGCAAAUGGCAGUUGACAUGUUGGUACUACUGGGCUCUUCAUAAAGUAGAUCACCUUUUGGCCCGAGUUGUGUGUUUGUUCAGAGAAACAGAGAAACGCCCUCUGUUUCCCGCUCAACACACACACAGGUUCAAAAACCCCCAGGUCAACCUGUGACUCAAUAAAUAAACCCUUUCAGGACAAACCACACCAGUACUUUCAUCCUCUGCAGAGGAACUGUGUCAUCACUGCCACCAUCAGAGACAACCUUUGACGCUUGCUUCAGAUUCAGAUUUCAGAUUGACCCAUCCAGCUGGUGGUGCAGUACUAUCACAAGGGAUCUUUCUUGUUAGAAACCUGUUGUCAUGGCGAAGAUAAUUCAUGUCCUGGCUCCUCUUCUUCUGCUAUUGGCUGUGGGUGUCCAGUCCGUGUCAACCCAACAAGUCAUCGACAAUUUAAAUGGUUUGACUGCAUUCAGAAGUCAACAACACCAUGGCUAUGUGCUGCUCCAGUGGUAUGUGAAUACUUGUUUAAACAAUGACAUGACCCUACAAACGACUUGUACCUCUCAAAACAGGUAUUAUACCAAUUACGGUUUUCAUGUAUUCUACAAUAAUGGAAGUCCAGACCACCCCAGUAUUCUGCCUGCCCUGACUAGAGGUUACAGGUACGACACGGUCGGAAACCUACAUUUGGGUCUUCUACUGCCUCAUGCAGUGACCAGGUUUUACUUAGAACACAAUCGGAAUCCAAUCUUCAACAGGGACAGGCUGGUGAUGAGUUAUAACCCCAGCACCAACACCGUUGACCAGAUCUACAUCACAGAUCACUAUAGUCGAACCAAUACAUUCAGAGUCGGCCCCAACCUGAUCAAUGCCCUCAGGAGACUUGGACCUCUGAAUCGAUGAAGAUCUUACUACUUCAAGCCUGCCACUGUGCUAAGAAACAGACAGUUCACCACAGUGAUUGUACGAAUCAUAUUUGUUCAUUAAACAUCUGAAGUGGAUCAGA
Hypomesus transpacificus is the source of this 1402-nucleotide long non-coding RNA. RefSeq lists it as uncharacterized. The record is from RefSeq and is a predicted model, not a curated record. The transcript has 2 exons. Lineage: Eukaryota; Metazoa; Chordata; Actinopteri; Osmeriformes; Osmeridae.